CCUACGGGAGACAGCAGUCGAGAAUCAUUCACAAUGGGGGAAACCCUGAUGGUGCGACGCCGCGUGGGGGAAUGAAGGUCUUCGGAUUGUAAACCCCUGUCAUGUGGGAGCAAAUUAAAAAGAUAGUACCACAAGAGGAAGAGACGGCUAACUCUGUGCCAGCAGCCGCGGUAAUACAGAGGUCUCAAGCGUUGUUCGGAAUCACUGGGCGUAACGCGUGCGUAGGCUGUUUCGUAAGUCGUGUGUGAAAGGCGCGGGCUCAACCCGCGGACGGCACAUGAUACUGCGAGACUAGAGUAAUGGAGGGGGAACCGGAAUUCUCGGUGUAGCAGUGAAAUGCGUAGAUAUCGAGAGGAACACUCGUGGCGAAGGCGGGUUCCUGGACAUUAACUGACGCUGAGGCACGAAGGCCAGGGGAGCGAAAGGGAUUAGAUACCCGUGUAGUC
Molecule: ribosomal RNA, 446 nt
Filed under: uncultured bacterium
Lineage: Bacteria
Description: partial 16S ribosomal RNA
Rfam family: Bacterial small subunit ribosomal RNA
Source: RNAcentral